UUUCCGUAGGUGAACCUGCGGAAGGAUCAUUCAUAAUAAGUGUUUUACUGCACUUUUUAAAAAUAGUACUCACCUUGAGUGCAAUGUUGUGUUUCUUUUCGGAGAAACACCUACACCAACCUAUAACCUUGAACCACUUUGUCUGAAAGACUAUUAUGAAUACUUAAUUCAAAAUACAACUUUCAACAACGGAUCUCUUGGCUCUC
RNAcentral lists this unclassified non-coding RNA (206 nucleotides) under plant metagenome. Its description in RNAcentral is "partial contains small subunit ribosomal RNA, internal transcribed spacer 1, and 5.8S ribosomal RNA". The record is from RNAcentral.